UGGGGAAUAUUGGGCAAUGGGCGCAAGCCUGACCCAGCAACGCCGCGUGAAGGAAGAAGGCUUUCGGGUUGUAAACUUCUUUUCUGAGGGACGAAGAAAGUGACGGUACCUCAGGAAUAAGCCACGGCUAACUACGUGCC
RNAcentral lists this ribosomal RNA (140 nucleotides) under uncultured bacterium. Its description in RNAcentral is "partial 16S ribosomal RNA". It matches the Rfam family "Bacterial small subunit ribosomal RNA", at positions 355 to 509 of the family's 1533-position model. The record is from RNAcentral.